RNAcentral lists this transfer RNA (61 nucleotides) under Coleoptera sp. ACP-2013. Its description in RNAcentral is "tRNA-Leu". Lineage: Eukaryota; Metazoa; Arthropoda; Insecta; Coleoptera. The record is from RNAcentral.
UAUUAUUUUGGCAGAUUAGUGCGAUAGAUUUAGAAUCUAUAUAUGUAUUUUUACAGAUAAU